RNAcentral lists this long non-coding RNA (1410 nucleotides) under Bemisia tabaci. RNAcentral describes it as "lncRNA ENSSWEETPG011985". The record is from RNAcentral. Lineage: Eukaryota; Metazoa; Arthropoda; Insecta; Hemiptera; Aleyrodidae.
UAAAAAUUUGAAAGUCUCGGAAAAUUUGAGAGGUUUGCAACAGCAUUGAACUUCAUCAGAUGACGCUCAUUUUUCUACAGGUUCAAUUCAAUCAAUGAAAACCAUUCAAAGGGAGACUGGAGCAAACUGAAAAUUCAAAUAUAAAGGCCACCCUCCCGAAAGCACCCAAAAGCUAUCCUUUGAGUGCUAAUACUUGAAGGCUUCAAGAAAAAAACAACAUGAGCAUGGCUCAUAAUUUACGAUUAACAGUUUUCUUUGAUUUUCUUGCAGCCUCCAGAGAAAAAAUGCAGAUAACAAAUUUAAAAAAGUAAAGGAGGAGAACUGACCUUAGCUCAGCUCUGAGAAUUCCAUGACCUAUGAUAAAAUGCAGUUUUUCUAAAUUGGAUGUUGGCCUGGCCUCUAACCAAGACUGGUAGCUGUCUGCAGUGUACUCUUCAUCUUGCAAUUUCCUUCUCACAUCGUCACCUAAUUUGUUCUUCCGUUUCAGUGUUAAAGAGACUAGUUUGUGACGUAUUGAGCGUGGUUUUGUCUUCAAAAAUGUUUCCUGGUCCAUGCCCAUCAUCUGAGCUUCUUGGAACUCCUUGCUGCGGAUGAAAUUUCGUCCCAGAGUUGCUGUAACUUUGGACAUAACAGAUGUGUUGUCUCUGUCCAUCGUGUGGUAGCGAGGUUCUGCUAGGUCACCACAAAAUCUGAGUAUUGUGAUCCACAGUGCUUGUGCAGCCUGGAAAAUUUUGACAUAUACAGAUACACCUUAUGAAUGGGUUUGUAAGUGAGAAAAAUUGAUGAAGAAGUCUCUAGCCUUCAAUGGUUUUGUUCUACUCAUACUGGGAAAAUGGAAUGAAAUUAGAUUUACUCAGGAUAGGAUUUUUCCUGUGUUUUGGCAUGAAACCUGAAAAGGGAGCUCACAUUUGUGAAUAAAUUCAAAUCAAAAUACUUAGUGAAUUAUUAAGAAAAAGACGAGCUUUCGUUUAUUCAUUCCAAAUAACUUUUUUUUUUUUUUGUACUUCUUAUCAAGAGGAUACUCCAAGACCAAGAUGGAUAGACUCAGAAAAAGCACAUCUCAGAAUACAGAGUUGUAAAUUUUCUUGUACAUAUUUCAUUCAACAAACAAAAAACAACUUAUUUUUAUGUUUUGAAAUUUUCCUUGGUCUUCCUUUACCCUGCAAUGAUUAUUCUGAAUGAAUCGCAAGUCAUAAUAUUAGUUAGCUUUUCAUAAAAAUGAUCAGAGAUUUUGAAGGUCUGCGAUAAGUUUUAUAGUUUCAGACUUUAGCCAUUGAUAUUUAAACAUAAUGUUCUACAUCAGAAUGACUGGCACCUGAUAAUAACUAUUGAAGACCCCUUUGUGUUAGAUUUGAGGAGUAAUUGGGAGGUGGAGGGAUACACACAGCUGCAAAAUAUCAGACGAGUUAA